AGGUAAGUAAUUUUAAUUCAUAGAAUUAAUUUUUGUGAAUAAUUUCUUUUAUUUUUUUUUUCUUGUAUUUUUUUUUAUUAAAAGAAAAAGAAAAAAAAAGUGAAUCUACAUUUAAAGGUUAGUAUUUCUUUUCUUUUUCUCUUUUUUAAAAUUCUGUAAUUUAAUUUUCAAUUUAUUUUUCUUUGUAAUUUUUUUUUGUUUAUCUUAUUAAUUUAUUUUUAGUUAAUUUAUUUCACGUAUUUGUUUUUGUGUAUUUUUAUAGAAAGGUUGUAAUAGCGCAAUAAGGUUAGUAUCAUAAUUUCUCCCUUAUCUUUAUUUUUUAUUUGUUUUGUUCCCAUCUUUAUUUUUUGUUUUGUUUGCAUCUUUAUUUUUAUUUUAUUUAUUUGCAUGCAUGGUCGUAGGUCAUUAUUACCUAAUCUUGAACCUAUAGACCUUGAA
RNAcentral lists this long non-coding RNA (438 nucleotides) under Citrus sinensis (sweet orange). RNAcentral describes it as "long non-coding RNA (CSIN_LNC004193)". Lineage: Eukaryota; Viridiplantae; Streptophyta; Magnoliopsida; Sapindales; Rutaceae. The record is from RNAcentral.